This 50-nucleotide transfer RNA is filed under the name Facelina auriculata. RNAcentral's name for it is "tRNA-Ser". Lineage: Eukaryota; Metazoa; Mollusca; Gastropoda; Nudibranchia; Facelinidae. The record is from RNAcentral.
UUAAGCUUCUAACUUGAGUGAGGGGAUGAGCGUCUCCAUUCUAUUGUGAU